Molecule: ribosomal RNA, 465 nt
Filed under: Vreelandella stevensii
Lineage: Bacteria; Pseudomonadati; Pseudomonadota; Gammaproteobacteria; Oceanospirillales; Halomonadaceae
Description: partial 16S ribosomal RNA
Rfam family: Bacterial small subunit ribosomal RNA
Source: RNAcentral
CCUACGGGAGGCUGCAGUGGGGAAUAUUGGACAAUGGGCGAAAGCCUGAUCCAGCCAUGCCGCGUGUGUGAAGAAGGCCUUCGGGUUGUAAAGCACUUUCAGUGGGGAAGAAAGCCUUGGGGCUAAUACCCUCGAGGAAGGACAUCACCCACAGAAGAAGCACCGGCUAACUCCGUGCCAGCAGCCGCGGUAAUACGGAGGGUGCGAGCGUUAAUCGGAAGUACUGGGCGUAAAGCGCGCGUAGGCGGUCUGAUAAGCCGGUUGUGAAAGCCCCGGGCUCAACCUGGGAACGGCAUCCGGAACUGUCAGGCUAGAGUGCAGGAGAGGAAGGUAGAAUUCCCGGUGUAGCGGUGAAAUGCGUAGAGAUCGGGAGGAAUACCAGUGGCGAAGGCGGCCUUCUGGACUGACACUGACGCUGAGGUGCGAAAGCGUGGGUAGCAAACAGGAUUAGAUACCCGGGUAGUC